AGUGAGGAAUCUUCCACAAUGGGCGAAAGCCUGAUGGAGCAACGCCGCGUGAAGGAUGAAGGUCUUCGGAUUGUAAACUUCUUUUAUGAGUGAAGAAUAUGACGGUAACUCAUGAAUAAGCACCGGCUAACUACGUGCCAGCAGCCGCGGUCAUACGUAGGGUGCAAGCAUUAUCCGGAGUGACUGGGCGUAAAGAGUUGCGUAGGCGGUUAUGUAAGCGAAUAGUGAAACCUGGUGGCUCAACCACACAGACUAUUAUUCGAACUGCAUAACUCGAGAAUGGUAGAGGUAACUGGAAUUUCUUGUGUAGGAGUGAAAUCCGUAGAUAUAAGAAGGAACACCAAUGGCGUAGGCAGGUUACUGGGCCAUUUCUGACGCUAAGGCACGAAAGCGUGGGGAGCGAACCGGAUUAGAUACCCGGGUAGUCCACGCCGUAAACGAUGGAUACUAGCUGUUGGAGGUAUCGA
RNAcentral lists this ribosomal RNA (467 nucleotides) under uncultured bacterium. RNAcentral describes it as "bacterial SSU rRNA". It matches the Rfam family "Bacterial small subunit ribosomal RNA", at positions 353 to 835 of the family's 1533-position model. The record is from RNAcentral.